UGAAUGCCUUGGUACUAGGAGCCGAUGAAGGACGGGACUAACACCGAUAUGCUUCGGGGAGCGGUAAGUACGCUUUGAUCCGGAGAUUUCCGAAUGGGGAAACCCAAUCAUCUUAGUCGAUGAUUACUUGAGCAGUGAAUUCAUAGCUGCCAAGAGGUAGACGCAGUGAACUGAAACAUCUUAGUAGCUGCAGGAAGAGAAAGAAAAUUCGAUUCCCUGAGUAGCGGCGAGCGAAACGGGAAGAGCCCAAACCACUGAGCUUGCUCAGUGGGGUUGUAGGACUGAACUUUGGAGUUACCAAAGAAUCAGGUAGUCGAAGUGGCUGGGAAGCCACACCAGAGAUGGUGAUAGUCCAGUAGACGAAACCUGGUUCUCUCCGUUCAGGAUCCUGAGUACGGCGGGACACGUGAAACCCCGUCGGAAUCCGCGAGGACCAUCUCGCAAGGCUAAAUACUCCCUAGUGACCGAUAGUGAACCAGUACCGUGAGGGAAAGGUGAAAAGCACCCCGGGAGGGGAGUGAAAUAGUUCCUGAAACCAUGUGCCUACAAGCUGUCGGAGCCCGUUAAUGGGUGACGGCGUGCCUCUUGCAGAAUGAACCGGCGAGUCAUGAUUACGUGCAAGGUUAAGGUGGAAAAACCGGAGCCGCAGCGAAAGCGAGUCUGAAAUGGGCGUACGAAGUACGUAGUUAUGUACCCGAAACCAGGUGACCUACCCAUGUCCAGGGUGAAGGUGCGGUAAAACGCACUGGAGGCCCGAACCCGUGUCUGUUGAAAAAGGCUGGGAUGAGGUGUGGGUAGCGGUGAAAUUCCAAACGAACUUGGAGAUAGCUGGUUCUCUCCGAAAUCUCUUUAGGGGGAGCCUCGGAAUCGAGAAUCUUGGAGGUAGAGCACUGUUUGGACGAGGGGCCCGUCAUGGGUUACCGACUUCAGAUAAACUCCGAAUGCCAAUGAUUUAUGUCCGGGAGUCAGACGAUGAGUGAUAAGAUCCACCGUCGAAAGGGGAACAGCCCAGAUCACCAGUUAAGGUCCCUAAAUAUAUGCUAAGUGGAAAAGGAUGUGGAGUUGCAUAGACAACUAGGAUGUUGGCUCAGAAGCAGCCAUCAUUUAAAGAGUGCGUAAUAGCUCACUAGUCGAGUGA
This 1138-nucleotide ribosomal RNA is filed under the name Streptomyces xinghaiensis. RNAcentral describes it as "bacterial LSU rRNA". It matches the Rfam family "Bacterial large subunit ribosomal RNA", at positions 25 to 1156 of the family's 2925-position model. Lineage: Bacteria; Bacillati; Actinomycetota; Actinomycetes; Kitasatosporales; Streptomycetaceae. The record is from RNAcentral.